CGUAGAAUCGGCUGGCCCCUCUGAGAGCACUCCCCGCCGGCUUCUCGUUCCUGCUGAGGGACCUCCCUCCCCACUCCCUAGACCCAAAGGUGGAGCUGAGGGCUGGGCUGCGGAGCUGGGAAAGGGUGCAGGUUGGAGGACUGGGGGAUAAGCCGGUGGUAGAGAGUCGGGCCAUUCCGGAGGUUCCUCUAUCUCCGGAUAGAUUUUAGAAACAGCUGCUGGUUGCGGUGGGGUGGAUUUCUCGCUGGCUCCUUCAGAGUCAAAUUAUGUGUUGAUUUCCAUAUAUUGAGAUGAUCCUUCUUUUCUGGGAUGAAGCCACGGUCAGAAUGAACCUAACUACUGUGGUGGCUUGAAUAGAAAUGUCCCCAUAAGCUCACAGUUUUGAACACCUGGUCCCCAACUGGUGAUGCUGUUUCAUGAGGUUCUGGAGAGGUGCUGCCUUGCUGGAAGAAGUAUAUCACCAAGUGGCCUUUAAGAGUUUCUAGCCUUCUGCAACUUCUUGUUUGCUCUCUUUGCUUUAUGUUUGUGGUUGAAGAAAGAUGUUUUCAUUUCUUGCUGUGGCUGACUGCUUCCCUAAACAUCGUGAACCCUUUCCCUGAAACUUUAAGAUUUCCUGGUGCAGAACAUCUAAAAACCUGAAGUCCUCUGAGUGGGCAGUCAAACUCCCUGAGAGUGAAGGUGUGGCGGCUGAAGAUUGAAAUGUCCAAUAAGAAUUAUGGACAUCCAGUUUUGUUGGUGCCUUCCUGUUAUUUGGUAAAUACACCAAGUACAGAGAAUUUGAUGUAUACUGGCUCUCCAGAACAAGGAAUACCAACCAUAUGAAAGACCAAGCCAGCAUCUUCUCUUCAAAGCCUGCCAGUCCAGUAGAAAUGUUUGCCAAUGAGAAUUGUUCAGAUGAACUUCAGGACAUAGGACUUAAGCGAAUGAUCAUAAAACUUGCCAAAGAAUUCACAGAGUUUUAAAAGAACACAAA
Molecule: non-coding RNA, 973 nt
Organism: Mus caroli (Ryukyu mouse)
Lineage: Eukaryota; Metazoa; Chordata; Mammalia; Rodentia; Muridae
Source: RefSeq, a predicted model, not a curated record